GGUAAAUACAUUCCCUUCUUGGGGAUAGUGGGUUUUUUAGGGAAAUAUGGGUAGUAACUCUCAGGUGGAAAAUAUUUUUAGUGCCUCUGAAUUUGAAAGACAUGCUCUAGAAACAGACAAAUCUCAGGUGGAAAGUUUUGAGUGCCUACGACCCAAUUCUAAGUGAGUUGCUUCAGGAAAUCCUAGAUACUUGCUGAAAAUAACACAACCAGAUACAGUGAUGAUCAAACACACAACUCACUCUAUCAUUUCUACUUAAAAUAUUCAUUUGAAAGACAGACAACAGUUCUUUACUGCAAUGAGUUACUGGAGAUCUGAAUGUUGAAUAAAAGUCUCACAUGUGUACACACACCAAGUUUACACCACUGGUGAACUCAAUAAAGUCAGUUACUGUUUGCUUUUAUCAAAUCAUUGAUAUCAAUUCCAGUCAUAUUAUAUAUAUACUAUAUACAUAUAUGUAUAUUAUACAAUAAUUUCUCUAAAUUAACAAUAAAUUCUCUAAAUUAAAAAAAGAACUGACUGUGGUAUAUCCAUAAACAAUAAGUUCUUUAGCACAUUUAGAAGAGGGAUUAAAAUAAGGAACCAAUCAGGACUCGUUGGCUUCGUUCAUUUCAUGCAUGAGGAAAUCAUACUGGCUUACCUGCUGUGCGGUACCUCAGGUAGAGUAGCUAAACAGAGAUUUACCCAGGUACUCCAGCCAUCAGCAUGAGUAAAGAGAUGCUCUUCCUCUCUAGUUUACAUACCUUCUCCUGCCCUGCGUCUGAAAUACACUACACUCUUGACUGGCUCUUCAUAAUCUACACACACACACACACACACACACACACACACACACACACACACACACACACACAUUCUCAUGUCACUUUUCGGGCUAAAGGAUCUGGUUCUGCUAUUUCUGUUCAGGGACUUCCGUUUCGUCCAUCACUCAUCUACACAUCAGAAUUUCCAAGUGGGCUUUGAAAAAAAACCCUCACAUUUAUUAAGAAAAAAUCUUGAGCUACAUCCUUAACAGUUACUCUUUAAUCUGUCAGUUUACUACCCUGCUGUUACAUUCCUGCCAUGCCAGUCUCUAUGUGACAUCACCUUUUCUGCCAGAAUUUCUCCACUCUCACUCUAGACCCAGGCAUGUGUUAACCUUGCAUACCUGCAUUGUUUCUGUAAAGUCUUCCUCAGUCCACCACACAGUGAUUAGAUCGCCCCUAGGUUUCCCUGUGGCUGUCUAAAUUACAAUAAUAUGCUGCGGCCCUGCUCUGAUGGCCCAUAGGUCUGUGGGCUUUGCUGAGGGAAAACAACAUUUUCUUGAUAGAGAGAUGACGGUCAUAUUUGUCCUCUUGCUGUGGCUCUCCUGGGUUACAUCGAGACACUUCUCAUGGCUUUGUUACUCAAUUUGCCUGCAAGUUCACUUCUCUUCAUUUCUAAGCUGUUUUUUCCCUAUCCUGUGACAUCUUGCCCUUUGUUAGCUACGACAUGGGAGCACAUUUUAUAUGGAUUCAGAACAAUGGUCUGUUUCCUGUUCUGAACUUUAUAACAGAAUGAAUAGAAUAUUAUUUCCUUCCCUAUAAAGGAAUCUACAAAUAGUUAAGUACUCCUAUUGUUUUAUAUUGCAAACCUUGAUGUAAAAUUGUCCCCUUAUUUCUGAUUUUAUUCAACAACUAUUUUUGAGUACCUACUAUUAGCAUAAGAAAAUAUGUUAACAAGAUUUAAUAGAACAUGGAGCUUAAGAAAAAUUGUAUAUAACUCAAGAAAGGUAUAGCCCAGGAGUAAUAAAAAUCUAGUGUCUGUUGAGUAGAGGGCCAUCAGAUAUUUGUGGGAUAUAUAAACUUCAUUCUUAAGGUUUGAUAUGUGCAAGACAUUAUUUAUGUACAAUUUGAAUAAGAUAAGUUCUAGAAAAGGAUAGAAUUUUAAAAUAAUAACUAUAUAAUCUAGGCAACUGUCAUCAAUUCAUUUGCUUUAAAUUGGUAUGUACAUUUGUUUAUUGGAAAAGCUUUCAAUAUCAUUUCCCCACAAAUAUAAUCACAAUAAAAAUAAUUUUUAGAAUACUUAGGGAAAAUUUUCUUCUGUGGCAGUUGUAUGGACUGGAAAAGAUUGAUUAAUUGAAUGUAGCCUAGACUAAUGUCAUGAGUUCUUUUACUCAAGUAAUGGCCCCUGGAACACUGGAUGCAAACAAAUCGUUUUUCCUUUGAAUUUGGACUAAUUUGAUAAUAGUUACCAUUGUCUACUAGCACAGUCUAAUUUUUAAGAUAAUGAAAAUUUUCUAAUUUCAUUUCAACUAAGGGUAAAUAAAGUGUGCUGUCUUCAGGGCUGGAGUUUAUUAUGGCCCUGUUUUGCAACUGCCUAAAAACAUUUGAUAUUCUUGAUUUUGAUCUCCAUCCAUAGUUUAGAUGUCUAAACACCACGAUUUACUAUUUAAGGCUAAGCUUAGAAAGAAAAACAUUCCCAGAAGAACAUGACAUGACCGAAUGGAAGUUACCUCAUCACUGAGUCUUUUCCUCCAUUCCUAUCUAGUCAUCGUAACCUUUAUCUCCACUCUGCAGGUCAUGUUCUGUGGGUUGUUCUAGAGUAAAAUUAAAGCAUAAGAACACAGGCUUUAUAUCAUGAAAUACUUGAAUGUCACUGAAGCAGAUUUUUUUACUUAAUGGUAGAUUUCCUUACAAAAGUUAGACAAACCAUCUGUGUCUCAAAAGAUGAUUAUGGCCAGUAUUAACUGUUUUGUGGAACUAUUUUGUUUCCAGUGUUUAAAAACAUGGCACCUUUAGUUAGGUGAUGCUUUUCCACUGUGUUUUUUCACCCUUAUCUUUAACUUUUACUCCUGUACAGGUAUGAAAUAAAAUAUGUUUUAAAUAGCCAUGGUGCAUCAACUUGUAACUUCUAAUUUAUUCCCAACUAUAGUGAUUGACUUAACGAUGUACAUAAAGGGCUAACUUGGGACUAUGCCCACUUCUUGGUCAUUUACUGGCUACAUGAGUGUAAGCUAGAGGUAUGUCAUUAAGCCUUACCCAACUCCUUUGCAACUAAUAGGCACAUGAUAUAUGUCUGCAUGCAUCCAUACAAGCAGUCAGAAAUGUCAGUUGCCAUAAAUGCAUUUUCAUUAUGUCAUAGUUGACUAUAAUUUUGUCAAACUAAUCAGUUCUAUAAGCUAGUGAAAAAAGAAAUCUGGAAAAUCUACUUGCUUUUCUUCUGCUAUUUACUGUGAAAUAUUUGACUUAAUUUGAGAUGUAUUUACUUUAUUUCUUUUCCUGAGAAGAAUAUAGCUUUUUGAGUUUAGGGCCUGUUUCAUAAGAAAUCUAAAGAGUAGCCGUGUGCUGAUGGUACACCCCUUUAACCUUGGCACUUGGGAGGCAGUAGCAGUUGUAUCUCUGUGAGUUUGUGGCCAGCAUGGUCUACAAAGCGAGUUGCAGGAUAGCCAGGGUUACAUAGAGAAACCCUGUCUUGAAAAAAACUAAAAGAGAAAGGAAGGAAGGAGGGUAGGAAGGAAAGAAAGAAGGAAGGAAGAGAGAAAGAAAUCUAAAGAACAUAUCACCUUUUGCUUAUAAUAUCUGACAGUAAUAGUACUAAUUUUUUAGAACACAGCUCUUCCAAAAACUUAGGCUGGAACUCUAUCUCUAACAUCUGACAAUGGGAUCUACAACUCAUGCUGAAAUCAACUUCCCAAACAGCAUUGCUAUUUGCUGAUGAUACCAGAUCUCCCUGACUGCUUGAUCUGAGAGCUUCGAUCCCUUUGAAAACUGCUGCACGUUCCAUUGACGCUAUGGACACCGUGGCCCUUUGCCUCGUCUCUGUUUGCCCUUAUCAAUCAGAUUUUAGGCUGAAAUAUGAAUCCUUCAAAUAUCUUUAAAACGCCAUAGCCUCAUAUAUAAGGAGCACUCAAGGCUAGAAAAUAUGUUUUCAAUAUUGAAGAUACCUUGGUUUUGUUUUGGUUUUGGUUUACUCCAAAUUCAGCAACCACUCUCCUAAGGACUGAGUUUGUUGGACGAGGGGAAGACUCCAGGAAGGUGCAGCUUUCUCUUUCCUAUGAUCAACCUCUCAGAUGUAGGAAACAUCUUCAUCUUUUAAAUUCUAAAAGUAAUUCAAAGGCAAAUACUCUAGAAAAGGUGUGUAAACUCCCAUGUUGCUCACUUGCACUAGACUAGAUCAUGGCAUAAUUUUCAUUAGCAGAUCACCAGGGUUCUGUGACAUUGCUGUUGUCUUUAUUUGAGGUUGGGCACCAAGUGCAAUGUCUGCUUCUACCUUCAACCUGCCACUUCUUUAGUGUAACAUUGCUUCACACACCCUGACCGUUAAAAUAAAAGUAAGUAGAAAGCCAUAGAUCAUAGAUCCACCCACAGAAUGAAAUACACAGUUCAAUAUGGAUUACACUCCACAUUAUGGUGUGAAUCCAAGAUGAACAAAACCUAAACAAUCAGAUUCAGGUUAGACUCAGGGGGAAAGCCCUGCAGACCACCAAGUUCCUGGCCUACCCAUCUCCAAAGUUAGGUCUUCAAAACUAAUGUUAAAUGCUGUGUGUCAAUGCCUUCUUGGAACCUCAGGACUGCGUAGUCUGAGACAGGCUUGCACAAUCUAGACCAGCCUGGCCACACAGUUAGACUUCGUCUUAAUUUUUAAAAUAAAGGGCAAAGAGUAGUUUCCUUUCAUUGCUUAUCCUCUCUUCCCUGGAAGGAUUUAAGCAUUUAUGGGGCACUGAUGAUGAGUUAAACAACAGUAACAGCCUGGCUGCUUUGAAGGGAGGCAAACAGGCCUGCUCCCCCUUAAUGUUGACAGCAUUCCAAAGCAGAGCUCUGGCCAUGGCUGGAGGAUGCACCCAGGCUCAUCCAAGCUCCACGCAGCUGGGGAGUCUGGAAAACCUUUGCAGGACUGCUGGAUGAGUCCCAGAAUGUCAACCUCAUUUUCGAUUUACUGGCUCUGGUUGCCUGUGUCACGCUGACCUUAUUGUUAAACACAGGUUUGUUUGCCUUCUUACGACUCAUGGUGAAAUGGAGAACACAUUACUUCUAAGCUGGUUGAAAGCUUUUAACUGACAGGGCACUUUCAGAGAAACAGGAAGAGGGCAGCUAUGGAGGGCCACUCUGCUCAGUACUUCCAGGAAGCUGAACCAUACUAUUAACUCUCGGGGGGGGGGGGGGGGGGGGGGGGUGACAGUGGUGUCAUGGCCCAUAUUUAGACAGAUGAAAGUAAAAUAUGCAAGCAGCAUUAUAGUCUUCAGGAAUACAUUGUACCUUACUUUUUAAUUAUCUUUGAAAUUGUUCAUCAACCCCAACUGUAGCCAACUUCCCAAAUAGUAUUUUAAAUGAGACCCAUUUUAAUAUGAUUUUCUCUUGUGAGGUACAUGUGAAGCUUAACACAUCUUUGUCUAUGACGGUUGUUUUUCUUUUGAGUUUUCCUUGUUAGCUAUUUUAACCAGCAGUGGUUUGAAGUGUCUUGUCAUUGAAGGUAACUUUUGCUAUCCUCCUUGCCCUAGGAAGGCUUUGAUUUUUAAAAUGUCUAUUCUUCAAACUGUGUUUCUAUUAAAGCUCUGUUAUCUUUCUGUCUUAUUCUAAUACAUAGCAAUUAGAGCUGCUGAGCCAUGCAGCAAUACAUUAAGUGUGACUGGAUUUUUUAAAAUAUGGACUUAAUUUGGUAAACACAAAUUUUAACUUUUUUAAAUAGGAAAACAGCUAAUGAACUUCUAUCAUAGCCUUCCUGAGCUAGGUUGGCAACUAGAGAUUUGAGGUCAAGGACCAUUAUAGAGCAUUAGCUCUUCUUCCUCCUAGACCUGUACAAUUGAUAAGGGAGACAGAAAGAAAAGUGUAUGUGAAUUAACAGCAAUGUACCGCAGAGCUGUCAGAGGCGCACCCUGCUCCUUCUACAUGGGACAGAAACCCUGCCCAGAAUUUCACACGGUAAGCAGUGAUAGAAAGAGCUCCGUGGGCUGCCUUCCAUAGUCAUCAUUUUAAUCACUAUUGUACCUCCUUUUGACCCAAAUAUUCCGUAAACCUUCACUCUUCUGGGGUGAUCAUAUUCCCAGGAAAAAUCAGAGUAGUCAGGCCUCUAUUUUUAAAAUAUUUCAACAGGACAACAAUUUUCAAUUUUUUUUCUAAAUUGAUACUUUGAAACAGAGGAUUCAGGCAAGGGCUGAGAAGGGGUGUGGCUUGCCAGGCCAGUCGGAAAGGUCACUGACAUAAAAGCAGAUAUUGUCCCCUUGAUUAUUGAGCAACAUUCAUGGCAGGAUGAUGCAAACUCCAAAAGAUGAUGUGCUGCGAUAACUGUAUGGGAAAUGUUCGAAGAAUUACCAGUCAUUAUCCAAACACGAAAUGUAAAUAUGCUCAGAGCUUUGUUCGUGUUUAAAGAGUCUCUCACUGUUCUAAUUUGAGGCUACAUCAUUUAGGGGGAAAGUUACCAAUCCAUCUAUUUAGAUAUCAACUAGUUGAGUUUUCUAAGAUCAUAACAUUCCUCUUAAAACAGAGAAGAAAAUGGCUAGAAGCAAAUUAUCUAUUUCAACUCCCAAAGUUAAUCAAAGCACCACUUUUCACUCGGGAACUUCCCGCUUUCUAUAACGUUUACAUCAGUGCACCACGACCAAUUCUGCUGUCUCUCAGUAUAGGAAAAACUUGUUCUGAACACAGCAACAACAACAUGAUGCUGUUGGUGAUAGUAAUGAUGGUGGUGACAUUGAAACGUGGUACUUUAGGCAUCACUCAUUCUCAACUGCAAGCGAUGAGCAACUCUAGAGAGUAGGUUGGUCACCCUGCUGAACCCUAGCAGUGACUAGUUCCCUCUUCUCUGAGGUACAGUUGGGUGGAGAGAAAAGACAGAUGUUUUGAUAGCUGGGUACCACCGUGAACAAGAGAGUGGAAAACACACAGGAAACUCCUAGAAUAGCUGACUCCAGGUGGGCCCAGAUAUCCUUUAAAACUUUGUAUGUGAAGUGGUUGAGGAAUUAGCUUAGCAUGCAGGCAAGAAGGAAGGAAGCACACUCCAAACUUGUUAACAGUAGGGGACAAGCAGCAGGAAAGAGCACACGCACGUGAUGCUGACAGAGAGCAUGGAGUCAAAGUUGAUGAUGAGACUCAGGAAAGAAACCAAGUCCCAAACAUCUGUGGCCAUGUGUGCCAUCUUAUCACACAAGACAGGACUCCAUGUGAGCAAGAAAACAGCAUCCUCUGUGUGAUUGCACUAGAAAUUCCCUUCUGCAGUAAAGAUGGUGGGCUUAGAGAAGGCUCAUCCUGGAGGCAGUGAGCAUGUUUUGAAGGAAGUUACAAUAUUCUGUGAAAUGAUGGGUCAUAAACAUGAAGAGCUGGGGGUGAUUAUGACCUCUUUAAUUUUCCAGAAGGCUUUAUAAGACAUAACAGAGAAGCACUGACGAAUGACGAAAGUAGAUGAACACACCAGAUAAGCAUCUCAACAGGAGGCCAGAUGCCUAAUUGUUUGGCUUCUGUGUUGAAACUGAAAUUCCUCAUCGAGGAAGAAAAUAAAAACUAAGAAACGUCAGUUUUACCAACUGCUAGAAUCCAAAUAAGUACCCUAAGAAGCUGUACCUCUCCUCCAACAUCCCCACCAUUUUGAGUACCUACAACCUCGAAGCCCUGGUCUAGGAGCUGAAAGAAAGCCAAAAUAGCUCCAAGCUCAGCAAUGAGAAGUAGAGACACUGAGCUACAAACAUAUACAAAACAAACAUGUCCGAUGACUCCUUCAGAUGCCACUAUCCAGUAGUGUGGCUGUAUGGGACAGGAAUAAAAAGGUUAACUACCUGUUCGCGGUCUUGCUCGUGAUCCAUCUGAAGAAGCAGAUGGGUAACAGCCCGGAAAGUAACUUGGCAGUUUAAGCUCUAGUUGUCUCUGGUUACCUCACUCAGUUCACCUUCCUCCUUAUUCCCACUAAUGAGAGAGCAGCGAGGAGGGAGGAAGCUUUCUCUGUGCAUGGUGACUGUGGGAACGGGGUCUCCUGGCCACUCUUCUGACUCCUCUUCUUCUUUUCUGGCAAUUGCCAAGCCUGGUGGUCACAAAUGCAGAGGUGUCGUCUCCUGUAGACGACCAUGGCUUUUGAAAUCAUCAGGUCUCUGCUCCCUACUGCAGAGCAUGUUGACUGCUGACAUGAUGCUUUCUAAUCUGUGCUGGCUCAGCAGAUUUCUCCUACAUGAACUGGUUUCCCUGCCUGGACUCUUCUGUAGGGUCACUUUGUCCUCUCACUACCUGCUGUGACCUCACCCUGCUGGCAGAAUAGAGGCUUCUCUGAGACUUCAUAGUUUUUAAAGCUUGACUGAACUCUAGCCAUCACAUUCACAGACUCCUCCUGCCUGGUCUAGAUUAUCUGUGGCCCACACUGUCUUCUUCAAGAUCAAUCCCCAAGUGUAGAAAUCUGAUAUCCCUGCCACACCUGUGGCUGCUUCUUUUUCUCUUCCUGUCAGUUGCAGGAUUCUGGAUCUGAGGUGGAUUCUUGUCAUAUCUCUUCAGAGAUACCUGUGAUCAAGCUUGACUUUAUUUGAUUUUGAGACAGGGUCUCACUGUGUAGCCCUGGCUGUCCUGGAACUUACUAUGUAGACAAGGCUGGUCUGGAAAUCACAGAGAUUCACCUGUCUCUGCCUACUGAGUGUAGGUUUAAAGGUGUAAGCUAUCAUGCCCAGCAUGCAAGUCCAACUCAAGGUCUACAUGCUUAACACUUAGGGGACGAUUUUUCUCUUAGAAAGCCUUGCCUUCCAGAUUUGCCUUGCUCUGGUCCAAUCAACGACCAACCCAAGAAGUCAGAAGAUGAACACUGACUUUCUUUAAGCAUUUCUCCUCCAGUGUGUCUUGAGAAGGCCCAAGCUGUGGAGCUGUGAAAAGGGGGUGGCUGUGGAUAACACCUAUCACACUCUUUUUAAUCUCAUGUUCUAUGCUUCCACUGGGAUAAUUUCACUGCUUUGAAUGCUGAAUUUCACAGUUUAAGCUGAAGUUGUUGAAAGGCUCAGAGAAAUAUACUCUGUUACUUGUUGGUAAAAAUAAUGUUUACGGCAGCCUGGGAAGAGGAAGUCAUCAGUGCUCUGUCAUGCCCAUGCCCUUCUUUGAUCUUUUUGUUACUAGUUUGUUUUAAGUAAAUAGUAGAUCCCUUAUAAUAAUAUUCAGCACAUUUAGAUAUUUAGUCUCAUGUCCUUAAGUAAAAUUAUACAAAUGUGGCUUCUAAUUUCUGAGUAGGAAAGAAAAUAGUUUGAAAUAUAUUGGAAAUUGGGGGGCGGGUGUUGCUAGGAUGGUAAAAUUGUCUCCCUAUCUGUGAACCUCUGGCACUGUUUCCCUGGAAAUGGCCAGGUGAUGAAUGUUAAAACUGAGCAUGCAGCACCAGCAUCAUCAUGUGCUUAUUUCCAACCUGUUAUUAAAAAUUACAUCUCAGCUUUUCUGCUAAGGGUGGAUUUCAGAGGAAAUGUUUUGUGACUCACACAAGAAAAUUGAGUUAGUUUACCCACCUUGAAUGGGGUCAUAUGUUAAACAGGCUCAGGUUUAAAAUGAAUUGUUUCUUAAAAACAACAUUGGGAAUUUAAAUGAUUCCAGUGUAAUACCAUGUAAUGAUAAAGAAUAAGCUCUUUAUCAGUGAAUCACCUCCAACCUCACUAUAAUGACAUACCAGGUACAUAUGCAUAGUCAAGACAUUCUCCUCAUUUUACUUCUAGUCAGUAUUUCAGCUUCCAUUAGACCACGUGACAUAAGGUAGGAUAUUAAUAUGGUUUGGUGGUAUGCAUUCUUGAUAAUCUAUGCAUUUUAAUAAAGCAAGGAUUGGUUCUCAAGACAAUUAAAUUGAAGCCAACUAGUUGUUUUGAUCAUAAAGAUAACACAAAACAGAUCAUAUCAAGUAUCUAGUGAGACAAAAAAAUAAUAUAUAUAUAUAUAUAUAUACAUAUAUAUAUAUAUGCGUGUAUGUAUUGGUUACAGUGGCCAAAAUAUGAUUGUUGUUCUACCAAUUUAAUUUUCAUAAGAAAUUGUGUACUAAGCAUUAAAGGGAAAGGUAUAAUCUAAUUGUUAAGACUAUUAUUCUGUAUUGGUUUCAUUAAAUUAAUAUAAUUUAGCUGUAAAUAAAUGGUAGUCAAUAAAUAAACUAAGUACCUGCAGUGUGUGUGAGCCAUGCUGGGAUGUGAAGACAAAAAGAUGAAAGGGUAGAUUUCUUGCUGGAUUUCUACUUAAUUGGCUGUCAGAUAUUACAAACUGUAAUAAAUGUAUUUGUUUAGUUUCCAUCAAGUAAUAGGUUGGAGAAAGUAGAAUGUUCUAUUUGGUUAUUUGAUCACAAAACGGUUCUUACAGCAUAAAACAUUUAUUUCAUUUAUUCCUGGCUGAGCAUUAUGUUUUCCUAUUAAUUAAUUAAUUAAUACAUUACCAGUUAAAUUUUUAAUAAUGUUGAGAAACUUCUUAUUUACCUAUGAAGUGAUAUGCUGUAAUUAUUUUGUAAAUACUUGAUUACAAUUAUGGAUAAAGUAAUUUUUAUUUUAAGUUAACUAUUUAAUAUGUAAAAGGAAAAUGUGCUGCUGGUGUGCUACUGACCCAUGCUUGUAAUCCCAACACUUGGUGAGCAGAGGCAGAAGGAUUGCUGCAAAUCUGAGGCCAGCUAAGACUACAGCAUAAAUUCUAGGUUAUCCAGUAUCAGAAUGAUACUCUGUCUCAGAUUUUAAAAAAGAAACUGCAGUAAGUCCCAGUGAACGUGCAGGCAAGACUUUAGUCUCUGCUGCCAGAGUAUGCCUCUCUCUGGAGUCACUUCCUAAGCCUGUGUGUAUGCAUCACUUUCUCUCUGCUACUGGUGUGCAAGAUCAAAUCGUCUACGUUUUUAAACAAUGUUUUAUCUACAUAGCAUGAUGUUAUUUUACCUGAUCAGAAGUGGUCAAAUCCCAUCUUAAAAGUGAUCUGACCUAAGGAGAAUUAUUUUGUAAAGUGCAGAAAUCCAUUCUGUGUGAGUAGUUUGCAAUUUGUAAUGCUUAAACAGGAACACCACAGAAAGCAAAACCUCUCAUGCUGGCUUGUGUUAUUUGCAUAUGAAUGUGCUGUGACAGGACACCUAGGUCACCCAGCCUCCAUCAUCCCAUUUCACUGUUAGUUAAACCUGACGUAAUCCAAUAAAACCAAUAGUGGCCAUACUUUUUGAUUCCUAUGUUUGAAAUAACACCAAAUGGAGCACAUUGGAGGACUACCUGAUAUAGCUCACAUUUACACAUCUAGUCCCCCAACACAUUAAAUAAGUGUUUUUAAAGGAAAUAUGAACACAGGGAAGGAAUUUGAGUUUAUUGAAUGUACUUAAUAAAAAUAAUAGACUAUCUGCUUGUUAAAUAGCUAAGAUUAAAUUAUAAAUCCAAAGGUUUAUUUUGUUGUCAUUAAAGGAUUUCAGUAUCAUUUGUAUGUCAAAAAUUACUUGUGAGAAUCACAAACUCAGAUCUUUACUGUGAGAAGUAUUCUUUUGUAUAUUUCUUGUGUGAUAUGAUAAACACCCUGAACAUUAAAUUUUUUUCUAAUAAAUGUGAGUCAUAUAUGAAUGAAAUACAUUUAAAGGAGAAAAAAUAAGUCCAGCAUUAACAACUGUUAAUCAAUCGUUUAACCGUGGCUAUUGAUCAAAGGCAUAUUGUGAUGUAGGUAGUGUAGUUUUUUAUUUGCUUUGUGUAUUCUGAUUUCUUCCCAUCAAAAAAAUAAUUAUUUACUUUCAUCAUUGUUUUUAGUUCUUAUGGACUCUAAAACCAGGUUGCAUUCUAUAAUUCUUAUAAUCUUAAAUGCCACUGGUCAAGACAAAAUCCUGUGUGACUGCAAAAUUUUUCUUUCUAAACCAGGUUUUGUAAUGCCUUCAAUUGCAGUGCUUGGGAGGCAGAGGCAGGUAGAUCUGCGUUACUUUGAGGCCAGCCUGGUUGAGGCUAAUCAGGGUUGCAUGAUGAGAUCCUGUCUGGUUACAACCUGGCAAAAUCAGGGAGUAAUGCUAACACUGAAGUACUUUGUACUCAGUGAAGAGCAGUGUGAAUGCUCAUCUUUUCCAUCUUUCUGCACACUUGCCGUUCUGUAACAACAGUUUCUGUGUAAGACAGAUCAGUGGUAACAUUUAACCUGGACACAACCCAAACUUUGAAGCAGGUGUUUGUUGUAUUGAUUUAGGGAAGAAAAAUUAUUGUCAAGAAUUUCCUUUAAAACUACAAGACCUUUAAAGAGCCUGAAUAUGGCAUAGAAAUAAAAACUAAGGACAUUAGUGUGCCAGUAUGUAGGUACUUGUGAGUCAUCAGGCCGGCAGUCUAUGCAGGUCAGUAAAUCAAAAGCAGCAUUCUGCUCAGAGUUCUAGAAGACAGGUGUGUCACUGCUGGAUUUCAGUAAUCUGACCUAAGUUCCUAGUCUUAUUAUCGUUUAACACACUGUGGUGAUAUUUCAGCAGGGAGCUCUGUAUUUACAAGGGAAAUCACCGAUAAAACCCCUUCACACUCUAGAACAUCCCAUAUGAACAUACACUUUUUUCCCUAAUAAUUUCCAAAUGAGUGUUAAAAAUUAAGUUACCACAUAAUUUCAUACACCAUAAAGAUUAUCUUCAGAAGUUAAUAAAUCUUGGAUCACCAAAUGUAUGAUUUUUAAGAACCCAAACACCAAAGCUUAUGGAUACAGAUGUUUAUUAGAAAAUGUGAAAUAUCCAGACUUCAAAAAUAUUAGAUUACUGAUUUGGCAAACAAAUGCAUGAGAGAGGCCAUUUGCAUUGCAGGAUGGAGGAUGGAUGGGGAGCCCCCUGUGGGCCUUCAACCUCUCCUCUCCUGUGUGGUUUAAGAGGAUGAUGUUUCUGUGAAUUUGUGUUCUGAAAUAGCAGAUCUGUGAGGAUCUAUGUUUUGGAAAAUGUGAUGCCAUUUUUAGGGAGAAAACUGAAAAUGCACACCCCCAUGAAACUUUUAUCUCCCACUUUCAAAAUAGAGAAUCACAUUCAUUAUUAUUUAAGAUGUUUCCCCCUUUUUUGAUAAAUUUUAUGAAUUUUAUAUUAUACUUAAUGUUCAUAUACAAGCAAUUUGCAGCAGUAUGUUAGUAGAAUUCUUUCUGAGCAACACGUUUGUAAGGAGGAAGCCAGCUUGGGAAGGUAAGGUUAAGCUGGGAUGAAUUCGUUAGGUUCUUGUCUGAUGGUUCCAGUUAUGCUGUAUGUAGUUACAGCGAAAUUCAUGGUGGAUUUUCAUUCAGGGGCUUAUUAUACUUAGCAUCAUUUAUACAUUUUAAAAGGUUUGCUUUGGACUGGGCAGUGGUGGCACAUGCCUUUAAUCCCAGCACUCGGGUGGCAGAGCCAGGUGGAUCUCUGUGAGUUCGAGGCCAGCCUGGGCUACAGAGUGAGUUCCAGGAAAGGCACAAAGCUACACACAAAGAAACCCUACCUGGAAAAAAAAAGUUUGCUUUCAGUUGCCUGUAUCAGGGAGAAUUAUUUCUCCAUUAUGUUCAUAUCCUGAGUUAUUUCUACUGAACAAGGGCUCACUUUGGAAUCCUUCUGAAUGUGAGUGCUUACCUUUGAAUGUGUGAGGGCAUGCAGCUCCUGAACACUGUCAGUCUAGAGAAUAGUGUAGAUAAUGUUAGCACAUGGCUAACAUAUAUGGAGCCAAGAGUCUGGAAACUUAAGAGUUCUGCACUAAGACCUAUUUUAUUGGUAUGAGUCAGUUGCCAGCAGAAAUCUUGAAUUUCUCUGAUCUUCGUUUUUAUUUUUUCUAUUUGAAAUAUUGUGCAGCAUGAUAUUGUCUAUAUGAAAAAUGGGGUAGUACGAUAUAUAUUCCAAAAUAUUUUGUUUUUGCUAACCACUGGACUAAUUUUACUUCAUAUCAAAUUCUUUAUGCCUGAUGCUUUUGUUGAAAUAAUUGUGUAAAUUAUUAUCUACACAAUAAUAACUUAAUGUAAAUUUUAAUAAUUUUAUUUAAUUUUGUGCUGUAAAUUCCUGUUUAAACUUGUGUAAUUAGAACUUGAAUAAUUCUACUUAUUGGAAAAUUCUAGAAACAUUUAAUUAAUUCCUAAUUCCCUAUACAUAUACCAACAAUUUAAAGUAGUUUAUGAUAUUGAACAAUAACUCCUUCAAACAAUUUUAUAAUAAUUUUCUUCACUAUGUUAUAAAAUUGGAUACUAUCAUUAUGAAACAUAAAACACUUAAGAUAUUGAUACUUUGAUUUGUGAUGCUUUCCAACACAAUGCAGUUUUCAUAGUCUUCAAUUUUUUCUUAAUUUUGUUUUCUGUAAAUUUGAACUAUUUUUUUUAGAUAAAACCUUUGUUUAAUCUGGGGAAAAUUUUGCCUUUUAUCUUUCUAUUUUCUCUAUCCAUCGUCAUUAAUAAAAACUUAGUUCUGAAAAGCAAGUAACAUUUUCUAUUACAUAUUCUUAAAACUGAUUUUGGCAUUAUAAUUCAAAAUAUUAAUCUGCACUUUAAUUCUUCCCACCUAUAUUUAGAAAUUUCCAUCUCUUUAAUUGCUUGAAAUAAUAGGUAAAUGACUUUACACUAUGCUUCAAGGACAAACUCAAACAGAAAUGCAGAAGCUUUACUGAUUAAAAAUAAUUGUGAAAUAAUUUCAACUGAACAUUUAACAGUGUGCCUGCCAAAUGUAAUAAAGUAGUUAUUUCAAAAUAUGCACACCUAUGAUCCAAGCACUUGGGAGAUAGAGGCAGGAGAAUCAGGAGUAAAGCCAGCCUCAACUACCUAGGGAGCUCAAGGUAGCCUGGGCUACAUAACACCCUAUCUAAAAGAAAAAUCAAAAUACGUAUUUCAAAUGAAUAAAGUCUUCUAUAUUAAUUUGAAGUCUUAUGUUUUAAUUUAGUCUUUAAAUUAGUGUUGUUCUAGAUGAACUUUUGAAUGGCAUGAGAAAAAUAUGAGGAAAUAGUCAUGUAAUAAAUUUCAAUCAUCAUAAUUACAAACACUGGUUUGUUUCCUCUGAUAUCUCUUCUACAGACUAUUUAUUUCUGAAUGCCAAAUUCACCAUUUCACCACAUUCUGAAGCUGCAGCCUUGUAUCCAAAUGGACAUUUCUUACCCAAAUCUGUGUUGUGCUUGAAAUACCUUGUUCAUAAAUACUCUGUUCCUUUGUGUGGUUCCUUAACCUCUAGGUACACUGUUCAGGCAGACUUCAAAUGUCAGAUGAUCAGAGAACUACAGGACGUGAGAGUGGCACAAGACCCAAAUAUCCAGUGGUCCAUGCAGUCUGUGAUCUGCAGACAUGUUUUGAAGCAGAAAAAGAAAAUCCUAUCUCAUUAAUGUCUGGAUGACAUUGUUUUCCACUGUCCCCAUAAACGUUUUAGAGAGAUCAACAAUGAGAAUCAUCUCUAUUGCCCACAUCGCAGAGAUCCUCAGAUUCCGAAGUGUCUGUCCCUCAUGUCAGGGCAGAGUGGAAGAAGGAUGAGCUGGGGACAGGCACUGACUUACAGGUUAUGAGGGACGAGCAAGGCGCUUCUCCAGUAGAGCUAGGCUCGUCACUUUGCGUCUAACAAAAAUGUGGAAGAUUUUCUUCCACAGUCAGCUUUCCUGUUCACUGUAGAUAUAAAUAAGCUGUCCUGUAAUCCAAGUCAGUUCUAACACUACCUACAUGCAGCUGUUCAGACCUUACAAGUUACAGUUCCUUCACAGAAGACUGCUGUCUCCUCAGUGGCCAGCUGUGCACAGUGAGGCUCCAGGUUACUCAGAACUUUGGACAACUUUCCUACAAAUCAGAAGAUCCCAAGACCCUCCCUUCAGGCAGAGUUAAUUUGCUCUAAAGCUCACAGAACACAGGGAAACAUCUAUGUUUGCCAAACUGACAUAAAAUAAAGCAUCAAGAUGAAAGGCUAGGUUAAUGAUGCACAUUUGGGCGAGGCUCAAAAGUAUCCCAAGUUCAGGAGUGACGCCUCCCCAUUGGCUUGGGUUGCGUUAUCCUCUCAACAAGUGGAUGUGUUCACUAGCCAGAAACUCUCAGAAUAACAUCCUUUAGGGAGUUUCGUGAAAACCUUAUCAGGGAGACACAAUCAACUAACUUAUUCUUCAGCUCUCAUCUUCCCACUACCAGCAGGACAGGAGAUGGGGUUAAAGGUUCUAAGCUUCUAAUCAUGGAUCGGUAUUUUUACGUAUAAGCUCUAAAUAUUUAGAAGGCAGUUUGACAGUAUGAUCAUUUAGCAAAAUAACAGUAGCAGGUUCUAUCCUGGGGCCUAUAACCUCAGCUUUGGGCUUUUUGACCAGAAAUACCGUACCAGGCAUGGCAUUCCAUACAGUGGAGGCCUCAGAUCUAAUCAGACAAUGGUUAGUUACCCCCUAACACUCACCCCACUCCUGCACCAGUGGGCAUGUCUUGCUUGCUAGGGUAGUGUUGCAUCAUGCAGGGUCCAGCACUGGAUAAGAGCCCACCAUGGCUUUUCUGCUUGAGUACCCUGGCUAGCACCUUCCAACACUGUAUAAGCUAGCCAGGCAGAAGUUUCUCAGUCAGUUUGAGAUUGAUUUCUCUAUGUCCUUCAGCCAAAGUGUGAAGUGUCUUUACCAAUAGAGUUUUACCAAGGAGCCAUAGUUGUUCACCAAGGGCAGUGGCAAUAUCCUGAGUUGUUUUGGAGACCUAUGAGGUCACCAUGACCAAUAACUCAUAAAGGAGGCAUCCCAUGCCUUACACUGUGAUUUUAAUUUCAUAACUCAUGACUUCUAGGAAGGACACUGCCACAAAUGCAAGAUAGUUUCCUUUUUUUCAAGUCCAUUGGCUUUCCUUAAGGCUUUUCAUGAAGCCUUAGUUUUGAUUAAUCUCCUCACUACCCUCUCCUCUGCCACAUUUUUAUUAGCAGUAUGUUUUUACUCUUUGGAAGUUCCAUAAGUUCAGUGUGUAUUGAUAUCUACACACUCCUGCCUCCUUCCAUCUCCCUUUUGUGCAGCCAAGCCAGCUUCAGGGCAGAAGGAGGUGUUUCUGAAGGACCCUAAGUCUAGUGUUUGUUACAUCUGCUCCAUAAAACACAACUUUAACAUGUGAUAAUUCCCAUGUGACCAAGCAACUACAAAGAAGAUAUAUGAAACUAGCCCAAAUCCCUAAAUUUAAGAUAAAGAGAAACAAGAACAAUAAAAUUAAUGAUGAAAGUCAAGUCUUAGAUAACUAAUGUGCCAGAAAUAGUAGUUUUUAAAUAACAUCAAGGGAAUCCCAUACUGUGAGAAUAAGUUUUUAACUUAGCAUGCUUUCUUUCUCUCUUUUUUUUCCAACUAUAGCUGAACUAUUAAUAACUCCUUAUCUUUUUAUUGAUCCCCAACAUUUUUCUGGAGACAGUCCCACUGUGUAGCCCAGGCUGGCCUCAAACCUGUGAACAUGUGGCAGUUGAUCCUAUGCCCUCUGCCUCCCUCCUUCGUGCUGGAUCACAUGGUAUGCCACUCAUCAAGGCCAGCUUGACUUCCAACAUCUGGCAAGCUUCCUGCUCCUGUGCUGACCAUCCCACAUGCAUUAACUCAUGCAGGAAAGCAGUCCUGAGGAAAAGCAGGCAUCUGUUACCCCUGCCCUCUCCAGGUGGAAAAUGAGGCACUGGCAGACUUUAUGCCUAUCAAAGGGAACAUGCAUGGGCUUAAGAAGAGAGAUAUGGCCCCAAUCUGCCUCCUGGCCCAUUUCCCCACAACCAGAUCUACAUUUUCUUUCUGGAUUAGACUUGCUUCUUCCCUCUCAGAGUCAGACAGUUUGGAAAUGAGAAUAUUGUGCUCUGACCUGUUGAGACACUAGCUACCAGUAAGGCGGCUUACUGUGAAAACAGAACCAUUUUUGUUAUGUGCUGAAAUUUACUAGCAGCACAACAAGGUUUUAAACAAGUGUCGCCUUCCUCCACCAGGACAUGGGGGUUUUGAAAGCAAGUGUUUGAAACUCUCCUUCUCCCUCACGGCUGGCACACCCAGCAGGAACGUGAGAGUCUCAUCUGAGGUUCCCCAUGCUCCUGGAAACACGGGUCUUUUUAAUUCAUACUGUGAAAUGCAGUUUUGAGCCAAAUCCUCUUACGCAGCUAAGAAAGCCUCCCCCCAUCCCCCCCCCCCCCCCACACACACACACUGGGCUGGUCUCACUCUGAGGGCCAGCAUGGGAAUUCGCAGCAGUGCCCAUGGGAGCUCGGAGGGAAGACUCCUCCUCUGGAACAGUUUUCAACAUUUCACAGCAUGCUGGUCCUAAAUGGUUGUGUGCUGUGGAAGGUUCUGCUGAAACGCUCCUCAUCUGACACGAGGCUGCCCCUAAAUGCCCCCCUCUUUCUCCCUCAUUUCCACUGCCCCCCAAAUCCAGCUUUCCUAGCCCCAACAUCUUCCUUUGCCUUACUGUCCACAAGGCUACCUUGCCCACCUGAAAUAGAGAUGCCCUCCUGAAAGUGGGUGUCUAAAACUAGGCACUGAGAGGUCAUUUACCACGUAGAUCAUACUUUAUCUAGGGCAAUAGUGAUGCCAUGGGCAUUCGAUUCAAUGAGUAACACUUUAAAAAGACUUAUACCCAGGCAGCAGUGGCUCACGCCUUUAAUCCCAGCACUUGGGAGGCAGAGCCUGGUGGAUCUCUGUGAGUUCGAGGCCAGCCUGGUCUACAGAACGAGAUUCAGGACAGGCUCCAAAGCUACACAGGGAAGCUCUGUCUCGAAAAACCAAAUAAAUAAAUAAAUAAAUAAAUAAAUAAAUAAAUAAAUAAAUAAAUAAAUGGAAGACUUAUGGUCUCAUUCAUUACACAUAAAGGUCCUUACUAUAAACAAAACACAAUUGUGACACGAUGUUGAUGGUUUCACAAGCUGAGUGAAGGCCUAAAAUGCAUUAUACAGAUGAGUCAUAACUCACAAACACAGACUCUCCUGUAACAGAAUUCUAGCUCUUCCUAAAAUGGGUGAAACGAAGUGGUUCUCAGAAAUUGUGUUACACAUAGUGCUUUUUUCUGAUUGUGUGGAAUGAUUUAAUAGAUUAAUAGGGAAGCAAGGUAUUUUUCAAGCUGAAUAUAAACACUGCUGCAGUAUUUACCUGAAUUAUUUUGUCUUUCCUCAUAAAAUAAGCAAUUUGUAAUUAGCCUGGGUUCUGUGUAUGACCUUUCUUGCAUUAAUUUUAGGGCCACAAAUUGGGUGUUCCAUCUUUAGUCUCUCAUCUGUUUUCUAGGCAGGAUGAGCAGGAGGACCACAAGAGGAAGAAGGGUAGCCUCUACUACAAGGAACCCGAAUUUUCCCUGGAGAUGUGCCAUUUAGAAUUUUUGCUUGGAUUCCAUUGGUGGAAACAGUAUCCAACAACCCCACAUUGUAAGGAAGGCAAGAGAUGUGGCUUUCAAACAGACCUAUAGAAGUUCUAGGAUUAAUUAGAGGAAGCAGAUAGUGAGUAAUUAACUCAUAUAGCAUUCCUUCCUAAACUCAUCAAAUGUGGUUAUAUGGCACUCAUAGCCUGGUGAACUCAAAAUAGGUAAUGGUUAUAUGUAAUACAGGCAUGAAAUUCUUCAAUAGAACCACAGGAAAGGGUUUGCAGUCAAGAAGACUAUGCCCAGUCAAGAAGGACACAAGACACAGAUUUAUUCCUCAAUCCAGCCACAUAAACACCCUGCAGCACUACACAGCUCAUCACCUGUGGGACCAUACUUGCUCAUGAUUAACUACUCAAGCUAAGCAGCUGGUCAUAUCUCUUUCCAAGUUUCACUCACGGCAGUUACCCAUCAGAGCAGCCUAUGGGAUGACACAUGUGCAACUUCCCUUAUUCAUUACUGAUGCCUGAUGAUGAGACCGUAGAAACCCUAACGUAAUAGUUGACAUAACAAUUCAAAUACAUAUAAUAGAGAACAGAUUCUAAGCAAAAUACAUUUAGCAUACAUCUUUCUCUUUCAUGUAAGAAGCCAAUAGACCACAUGUGCCCAAGGACACAAAAUAUAAAUAUUAUGACAUUUGGGGGUGGUGUUUCUUUUUUGCAACUCCAUUGUGAGGGUCUCAAGCACAAACUCCGUAAAUGAUGGUAUCAUGUCACAAUGUCAAAAGGUUAUACAGCCAUUCUCCUCUGUGGAAUCAUGCAAAGAUGCACAGUCCUAGUUUGUUGUUUCCCCAAUCUGAACUGUACUAACUUUUGUGACACAAAAUUGUUCCUUGUCUCAGCAGCAAGAUGGAGAAUGAGGUCUCCUGUCUUUAACAAGGAUGUUGCAUGCAUUUUUCCCCACCAACAUGGUCAGGUACCAAAAGAGGCUAGGAAAUAUAAACUUUAUUUUCAGCUUUUGUAUCUUCUACUAAGAACUUGGAGAGAAAAAGAAAACAAUGAGAAUGUGAGAAGACAAGCAUCAGUCACUACUAUAUGCAGCCAGAGAGCAGAAGAAAUUAAGGAAUUUAUCUUAAAUGAUCUUUUUGUAUGUGCAUGAUGUAUAUAUGUGUUUCUGUGUAUCUGUGUAUGUACGAUGUGUGUGUGUGUGUGUGUGUGUGUGUGUGUGUGUUAUUUACACAUCCAAGAUUUGGGUGUGUGAGUGCAGGUAUGCAUGUGGUACACAACUCUGGUCCUCAGGUCCUUGGCUUCAGUCUUGUUUGAGGCAAAUUCUCUUUAGUGUUCACCAUUACACCACCAGGCUAGCUAGCCCAUGCACUUCCAGUGAUUCUUCUCUCUUUUCCUCCCAUCUCACAAGAGUACUGGGACUACUACACCCAGUUUUACAUGCAUCCUGGGUAUUUCAACUGAGGGUCUCAUGUUUGCACAGCCAUCUCCCCAUCAAACUAUCUCCCCAGCCUGAGCUUAAGGAAUUCUAAGGCUCUGGCCUCACAAUGACAACUUUCAAUUUUUAUUGCUCCAUAACAAACCACACUAAAUUUUGGUGGCUUACAACAAUAAUUACAUUUUGUGACUUUGCCAGGAACUUGGGAUGGCUUGGUUGAGAAGAUAGAUAUACAAGUGAGUUGUCUGGGGCCCCUCAUUCAGCUGAGUUCAAUUCAGCUGAUCCUGGGCUGAACUGGAAGGUCUAAGAUGGUCAUUUGUCUAAUGCUUUGCUGCUCCUCUACAAGACAUGGAUGUUGGGACCUGAACUUAGUUCCUUGGAAGAUCAUUAUGUACUCUAAAACUCAAGCCAUCUCUCCAGCCCCAAAGGAUGCUUACACAAUGAUACUUCCUCCAUAGUGCCCUGGUGAGUGCUUGUGAACACACAGUAUCUUAAACAAACUUUCAGGUACAAGCUGUUAUAGUUAACAUUUCUUCUAUGGCCCAUUUCUGCUCUCUCCUGAGAUAUAUGCAUUAUUAAGACCAUGAGAAAUAUUUUCCUAAUCUCUUGUUCUAGCUUAUCAAGAGAAGGUCACCAGGCACUCCUACGAUUUGCCACUUAACUAAAUAAAAAGUGAUAGUUGACAGAACUGACUGGAAACCUUGGUUUUCCUCAACAUGGAGUCAAGAAAGCUACUCUUCAAUGGAGUGGGUCUUCAAGUGCAAAGACUAAGUUAAAAUGUGCUUAUAAAGUUUAUUUUUAAAGUCAUUUGAGACACAGUAUAAACAUGCAGCAAAGCUAUUGUGGCAAGUUGGAUUAGGAAUAACAUGAAGGUAUUUACAUGUCCACAUAUGUAUGCAUGUCUAGAAAUACUGAGUGCAGAUAAAUACAGAAACACUACAAAAUAAGCAAAAAAUUCAGCAUGAUAAUUUAUUGACUAGUUUUUACAACAUUUAUUACUUAAUUCUUCAUGUUAAUGGCUGCAAAGAAACUCCUGGUUUGGUACCUAAGUAUUUGACUUUUAAAUAGACUUGAACAGUACAUAAAUAGAUUAAAAAUGAAAGACUCGGGUGUCUUCUCUGUCAGACUACUCAUAAAGGUUUCAUCUUAGAGUUCAAGGACUCUUGAAACUCCUCCAUCCUUGCAGUGUGUGCUGGAACUGUGGAGUUUAGGCAUAGAGCAUGAACAGGCAGUGCUCUCAGACCCUUCAGAGAACAAGUUAUUUUCCUUAAAAUGUAGGUGGAAGAGGACAUACUGGGGCACACAGAAACUCCAUCAUGCUAUAGCACAGAGAGCAAUGCAGUCUUCAUCAGAGGUAAGUGGAUUCAGGCAUGGCUUCCAUGUCAACCAUGGAAGAGCAAACUAUGGGAAGUACUGGUGAGAGAUGGCCAAUGGUGUGAAGGCAAGAACACCACCAUCUAACUGAGGUUGUCCAGGGACCUUCAGCUCCAACUCCCUCCCACACUUCACUUCCUCAAGUAGACCUCCACAUGAACAUCACAAAUCAUGGAAAAUGAUUCCAUGACUGUCAGUCCAGUAAGCACCAAGAUUCAACCUCUCCCUAUAACCCCAAGAAAUACCCACCUUAAACCGUGGCCUAUCUGUCAUGAGUCAUGUCAUGUCAUGAGGAAUGAAGUCAUCCUCUGCUGGGCCCCUAGUCUAUAGGGAAGUUUACAAACACUGAUGGAACAAAUAUAGGUUAGUUCCUUGCCAAGCGUCUUCUAGUAAGUACUGUCAACAUUCCUACUUGUUUCAUAAAAAGAUGGGUGUGGCUGUCUUACCAUUCAUUUUUUAAGUAUCACUCAAUGACUUGAUCUUCUCCGUCAUUCAUAAAUCUCUUCUCCCAAAGGUAUUGCCACUUGAAGUACGAAGGUAAUGAUAACAAUGGAUGAACACAUUAAAUGUGUUCAGGAAGUUGAUAAGUACCUGUUAUUAACUCUGAAUCAAAGAGAGCGGCUGGCUGGAGUAGACUGCUCAAGUAGGCUAAUCUCAUUUUUAAAACAAUGUUUUGAUUUUGAAAAGCAGAAGUGAAAUUUCAACCCUUAGGGGAACAUCUAUGGUCACCAGGAAUGUAAUUUUUGGACAGGAGUCAAGCCUGUUGUUGUUUUUACUGAGAGAUGAUUUCCAUGUCUUACCCGGUGACAUGAGGUCAUGGUAAGAGCAACAAGUGACUAAUGGGCUGUGAAUUAAAGGAGGAGCUCUGAUCAAAAAAACCCCAAACCUACUGUAUUUGAACACUUGCAUGAUGCUACAACUGAACAUUUCAGUACAUGAAUUAAAAAUAUUACUUGAAAUGACUUUAAGACUAUGUAUAGAAAAUAUAUGAAACAGAAAUAAGUCUCCUGAUUUGACCUGGGUCCCAUCCCCAUAAUCACUGUAUAUUUUAGAAUAUCUCCAAGAAUACAAGAUGUCUCAUUUAUAUGUAAUAAUUCAAAAUCUAAAAGGCUUGGGUCCCAAGAAUAAAGUGUGCUCAGACUGCACUACAGAUUAAAGUUCUCUGAGUUGAUGUCUGAUGGCUUUUCUAACUUAGCCUCUGUGCAACACAAAUAUGUGAGGCCUGUGGUUGGGAACAAGGUCAGCAGCAGGGAAUAGUCACAGAAGCAUAGAGAGAUUUCGUUUAUUCCCGACAUAGCAGGUGUUCAGUAGGCAGUCAUAACAUGUGAGGUUAACUACUGAAGAGAAAAUGGAGGAGGUUUCAUGUAUUUUUAUCUUCACUAUUUGGGGCCUGGGUAGUUGGGGAUUAUGAGAAAUAUAAAGUAUAUUUAUAUGUCCUUUCUUUAAUCCACUCUCCCUGGAAGAGUCAGUCAGCAAAGGGGCUACUGGUGAAUAUUUCAUUCAUGCCUGUAGCAAAGCAAAGCAAACCAACACACACAGAGCUUACGCUUCUUCACACUGCACGGACACUGCAGAAAUAGAAAGAUUAUUUUACUUUUCAAAUCUGACACACAAUACAUUAGGAAAUCGUUCAGUUGAAUGACUAAUGUGUGUGAACCAAACUUAGUGGAAUGAUGGCAUAGCCCAAGAGUCACCUGUUAAAUACAUCAGUGUUUCAAAUGCACAAAACACCCACAGUGAUUACAUCAGACCCUCAACGCCACCCUCAUACUGUAAGCAGUUAUUUGGGUGCAUGUUGUUUCAUGUAGGGUUCAGAGUGAGGAUAUGACGGUUCUAACAUGUUCCACUGUCUCUGAACAGGUAACGCUCUUCACUGCUUCCAAUGGCAUCCCAGUUUUGAGCAUGACUCUUCCUUGACUGGCAAUGCUCUCUCACACAGCAACCUUCUGUGGCUUCAGAGCAUACGUCUUGGUCUUUGCAGUGCUCCUGAAUGAUUCAUUUGUAGGAUACUUACUUCAUGGGGAAAGCAGCUCUAACCUCUCUCCAAUAUAUUGUCACGAUUUCCUUACACAGGGAAGGAACCUCAACAAAUAAUGACACAGAGUAAAUCUCACCAUCAGAAACGAGAGCUGAAUUUCAUACCCACAUCCUACAUAGAAAAAGCUCUAAGCCCUCAGUGAGCAUCAUGGGUUUAGCUUACAGGCAACUGGGAGGUGGGAAUGUUCUGGUCUCUUAAAAUAAAAUGAAAUUGAGAUUUCUUUGCACAGCAGCAGCAGAGGAAGACACUGGAUCUUUGCUGUCAAGUUGGUCUUUGAAAGCAAAUCAGCUUCCCUUCAUGGAUCCUGAUCUAGCAUGAUGCAAGGGGUGAUGGCAGGGGGCUUCAUCCAAGGGCCCUGUAGACCAGGCCGCUAGGAUGUUAUGAAGGCUACCUUCUGUCCCAGGAAAGGUCAUCAGUGACAGCAAUGACACUGGUGUAUUAAGCCACCAGGCACCCACCUACCAAGGAAUUCACCAUACCUCACUACAGUGCACAGGGACUAAUGCUGGGAGGAAAGCGGAAGAGCCAAACUUCCAUCAGAGUUUCACAUCACACCAUAAUCUUUAUGAGCUGUUUUCCAUUGAUUGCCUUUAGUUCACUGAUGCUAUUUCUGGAUGGAUCUGUCUGUCUACUGUUACUGGUUAAUUCUAAUUCAUUAUUUUAUUUCAUUUAACAGCAUAAAUGCCCCGAGGCACAGUGCUGUGUAUAUGUUCAGCCUAUUAUCUCUAGAAAUACUGAUGCAAUGUAGAAUGAAUUGAGAUUAUAGGCUGUGACAUGUAAACAUAGCUUCACACACCUCUAAACACCAGAGUGUCUAGGAAUUAGCGAAAACUCUGAAGGAAUCUGUUAGAUACCAAGGCCAAGUGCAGUGGGUCUGGGGAGACAACUUUUUAGACUAUGGAGAAUAAAGGCUUUUUGCUAUUGUAGACACUCAUAGGAAUUGUAUGUUGGAAUUGUUGAAAUAGAUUAUGAUAGAAGAAAUGGCUGAUAUGUAACCUUUUGUUGAUGACCUAUAACUGAAGAGUAAAUACCUCUUUGUUCUAUGAGUUCUGUAAUUCAGAGAAAGAAAACCUUUGUAUAUUUCAUUCCUGCUAAUGAAGCUUUCAUGACCAUGCUUUCAAACUGUGUGGCUUGGGGCUGGAGAGAUGGCUCAGUGGUUAAGAGCACUGCUGCUCUUCCAGAGGACCAGCAUUCAAGUCCCAGCACCUACGGAGUAACUCAGAACCAUUUGUAACUCCACUUCAAAGCUCUCUGACUCCCUUUUCUGAUCUUCAUGGGUAAAAGACAUAUGUACUACAUACAUACCUGUGAACAAAAUAUCAUAUAAAUAAAUAAAUCUUAAAAUAUUCAAACUCUGUGGCCUAAGAAUCUAGUACUUUGGUAUUUGUUUUCUGUUUCAAUUAAACAAGGUUUAGAAGGCACAGCUUCCCAAUUUGAAUUUUC
Peromyscus californicus insignis is the source of this 25356-nucleotide long non-coding RNA. RefSeq lists it as uncharacterized. The record is from RefSeq and is a predicted model, not a curated record. NCBI's taxonomy places the organism in Eukaryota, Metazoa, Chordata, Mammalia, Rodentia, Cricetidae. The transcript is spliced from 2 exons.